GGGAUGGAAGCGGCAUCUCCCGAUUAACAAAAACAAGGCGAUCGCCGUAGUUUUUGUUAAUCGGGAAUAUAGCAAACAGCCCG
Molecule: unclassified non-coding RNA, 83 nt
Filed under: Flavobacterium frigoris
Lineage: Bacteria; Pseudomonadati; Bacteroidota; Flavobacteriia; Flavobacteriales; Flavobacteriaceae
Description: Flavo-1 RNA
Source: RNAcentral